RNAcentral lists this ribosomal RNA (512 nucleotides) under uncultured bacterium. RNAcentral's name for it is "partial 16S ribosomal RNA". It matches the Rfam family "Bacterial small subunit ribosomal RNA", at positions 28 to 507 of the family's 1533-position model. The record is from RNAcentral.
GAUGAACGCUGGCGGCGUGCCUAAUACAUACAAGUCGAACGAAACUUCUUUAUCACCGAGUGCUUGCACUCACCGAUAAAGAGUUGAGUGGCGAACGGGUGAGUAACACGUGGGCAACCUGCCCAAAAGAGGGGGAUAACACUUGGAAACAGGUGCUAAUACCGCAUAACCAUAGUUACCGCAUGGUAACUAUGUAAAAGGUGGCUAUACUACCGCUUUUGGAUGGGCCCGCGGCGCAUUAGCUAGUUCGUAGGGUAAAGGCUUACCAAGGCAAUGAUGCGUAGCCGAAUUGAGAGGUUGAUCGGCCACAUUGGGACUGAGACACGGUCCAAACUCCUACGGGAGGCAGCAGUAGGGAAUCUUCCACAAUGGGCGAAAGCCUGAUGGAGCAACGCCGCGUGGGUGAAGAAGGUCUUCGGAUCGUAAAACCCUGUUGUUAGAGAAGAAAGUGCGUGAGAGUAACUGUUCACGUUUCGACGGUAUCUAACCGGAAAGCCACGGCUAACUACGUG